GGAGAGGUGACAGAGUGGUCGAUUGUGCUAGUCUCGAAAACUAGUGUGGGUGCAAGCCUACCGAGAGUUCGAAUCUCUCCCUCUCCG
This 87-nucleotide transfer RNA is filed under the name Planctomycetota bacterium. RNAcentral describes it as "tRNA-Ser". It matches the Rfam family "tRNA". From Rfam's summary of the family: Transfer RNA (tRNA) molecules are approximately 80 nucleotides in length. Their secondary structure includes four short double-helical elements and three loops (D, anti-codon, and T loops). The record is from RNAcentral. Lineage: Bacteria; Pseudomonadati; Planctomycetota.